AGGACGAACGCUGGCGGCGUGCUUAACACAUGCAAGUCGAGCGGAAAGGCCCUUCGGGGUACUCGAGCGGCGAACGGGUGAGUAACACGUGAGUAAUCUGCCCCUAGCUCUGGGAUAGCUCCGGGAAACCGGGAUUAAUACCGGAUACGACCACUUUAGACAUCUGUUGUGGUGGAAAGAAUUUUGGCUAGGGAUGAGCUCGCGGCCUAUCAGCUUGUUGGUGGGGUAAUGGCCUACCAAGGCGACGACGGGUAGCCGGCCUGAGAGGGCGACCGGCCACACUGGGACUGAGACACGGCCCAGACUCCUACGGGAGGCAGCAGUGGGGAAUAUUGCGCAAUGGGCGAAAGCCUGACGCAGCGACGCCGCGUGGGGGAUGAAGGCCUUCGGGUUGUAAACUGCUUUUCUCUGUGAAGAUUAUGACGGUAACAGAAGAAUAAGGAUCUGCUAACUACGUGCCAGCAGCCGC
Molecule: ribosomal RNA, 469 nt
Filed under: uncultured bacterium
Lineage: Bacteria
Description: SSU rRNA
Rfam family: Bacterial small subunit ribosomal RNA
Source: RNAcentral